GUGAGGAAUUUUCCGCAAUGGGCGAAACCCUGAUCUAGCCAUGCCGCGUGAUCGAUGAAGGCCUUAGGGUUGUAAAGAUCUUUCAGGUGGGAAGAUAAUGACUGUACCACCAGAAGAAGCCCCGGCUAACUCCGUGCCAGCAGCCGCGGUAAUACGGAGGGGGCUAGCGUUGUUCGGAAUUACUGGGCGUAAAGCGCACGUAGGCGGAUUGGAAAGUUGGGGGUGAAAUCCCGGGGCUCAACCCCGGAACUGCCUUCAAAACUCCCAGUCUUGAGUUCGAGAGAGGUGAGUGGAAUUCCGAGUGUAGAGGUGAAAUUCGUAGAUAUUCGGAGGAACACCAGUGGCGAAGGCGGCUCACUGGCUCGAUACUGACGCUGAGGUGCGAAAGCGUGGGGAGCAAACAGGAUUAGAAACCCCAGUAGUCC
This 425-nucleotide ribosomal RNA is filed under the name uncultured bacterium. Its description in RNAcentral is "partial 16S ribosomal RNA". It matches the Rfam family "Bacterial small subunit ribosomal RNA", at positions 354 to 796 of the family's 1533-position model. The record is from RNAcentral.